Molecule: small RNA, 224 nt
Filed under: Streptomyces aurantiacus JA 4570
Lineage: Bacteria; Bacillati; Actinomycetota; Actinomycetes; Kitasatosporales; Streptomycetaceae
Description: Actinobacteria sRNA Ms_IGR-5
Rfam family: Actinobacteria sRNA Ms_IGR-5
Source: Rfam by way of RNAcentral
ACUUCGGAGAGGAGGUGGUUCGGCAGAUGUACGUACACCGGACGGAAGAGGUGGCUGCGGGCUAGCGGCCCGCCACCACACCGAGUGCGGUGCCGGACCAGCACGCGAGAGCUGCGUGCAGCCGGCCGAAACUCAGGCAGUCACCCGACCCGCGAGCCGCCGGUACGUCCGGCCGGCUUCCCCCGCCGCACGGCGCGGGAACCACGGCUCGCGGGUCGCUCCGU